Molecule: unclassified non-coding RNA, 342 nt
Filed under: soil metagenome
Description: partial contains 5.8S ribosomal RNA, internal transcribed spacer 2, and large subunit ribosomal RNA
Rfam family: 5.8S ribosomal RNA (bases 1-120)
Source: RNAcentral
GAUGAAGAACGUAGCGAAAUGCGAUAAGUAAUGUGAAUUGCAGAAUUCAGUGAAUCAUCGAAUCUUUGAACGCACAUUGCGCCCGCCAGCAUUCUGGCGGGCAUGCCUGUUCGAGCGUCAUUCAACCCUCGAGCCCCCCCGGGGGCCUCGGUGUUGGGGGACGGCACACCAGCCGCCCCCGAAAUGCAGUGGCGACCCCGCCGCAGCCUCCCCUGCGUAGUAGCACACACCUCGCACCGGAGCGCGGAGGCGGUCACGCCGUAAAACGCCCAACUUUCUUAGAGUUGACCUCGGAUCAGGUAGGAAUACCCGCUGAACUUAAGCAUAUCAAUAAGCGGAGGA